This 1223-nucleotide long non-coding RNA is filed under the name Piliocolobus tephrosceles (Ugandan red Colobus). Its description in RNAcentral is "lncRNA (ENSPTEG00000012704.1)". The record is from RNAcentral. Lineage: Eukaryota; Metazoa; Chordata; Mammalia; Primates; Cercopithecidae.
AAGGUUGGCACGGAAAUCCAUCUGCUCGGCUGGGAUCUCCUUCAGGUCGUCUUCCGAGAGGGUCUUGGUACUCACCUUCUUCCCCAGGAGGUCCCGGAAGUCCAGCUGCUCCACCUCCUGCUGGCGGAUCGCCUCCUCAGUGUGCUGCCUCGUCUCCACACGCCUCUUCAGCACCCCUCGCACGUCCUCGCCGUCUUCCUCCUCUGGCCAACCCUGCCCUCUUGCUGGCCAGCCAGGCCUCAGGGUCCCAUAGCGGUCACUACCACCACCAUCAGCACCAACUCCUCCACCACAGAGGCCCUCACAGCUGGCAGGCUCCCUCCCCCUGCAACCAGUGAAGGGAGAAAGGAAAGUAGCAGGAGGAAAAGGGGCUGGCUCCUCCAACUCCCAGACUGUGUGGUUCUGCACAACAGUGAAGAAAAUAUUGAGGAACCGAAACAAGCUGAGGCAGGUAAGUCCCACCCCCUCCUCCACUCAGAUGCCGGAGGCCUGACACCAGUUAGGCUGGUGUACCUGCAGCAUUCUGCCCUGGGUUUGCCUUUGAUCCCACCCCUGCAGUCUAGCCACCAGGAAACAAAAAAUCUCCUCUCUGGGUUUUCUAAGCCUUACCUUUUGGUUCAGGGCAGAUCAGAACCCAGGAAACCCUGAACUCCAGAUAGGCAUCUGAAGGGAGAGGUGUCUCCACUCUGCCUCCAGCUCAGGUCCUCAGAACUACGCUUUGCCCUCACCUCACCUGACUGGUGCAGCACAUCCAGCCUCGUGCUCCUUGUUUUCUGGACAGUUUCCUUUUGUUGUGUUUGAUUUCCUUCUCUCAAGUAGUCAUUCAGUUUCCACAGUGAAUCCUGACUGGCACGCUAGAGUAUACACAGGCCUGAACACAUACUUGAAAGGUUGUGCCUCUCUUGCCUCCUGUUCCAGCUUCCUACCAUCCAAACUACACAAAUCAGCAAGUACCUCUUCCAAAUUUGUUUUUUUAGUGAACAGGGUCUCACUCUGUUGCCCAAGCUACAGUGCAGUGGUACAGUCAUAGCUCACUGCAGCCUCCUACUCCUGGGCUCAAGUGAUCCUCCCACCUCAGCCUCCCAAAUAGUUGGGACUACAGGUGCAUGCCACUACACCCAGCUAAUUAUUAAACUUUUUGUCGAGAUGGGAUCUCACUAUGUUGCCCAGGCUGGUCCUGAACUCCUGGGCUCAAGUGAUGCUCUUGACCCAAAGCGCUGGGA